AGCGUCGACUGUCAGGGAACGAGCGAGACCCCUGCGUCAGGUUGCUACCAUUACUCUCUGGAAAGUGGAGCGAAUUACACGGACCGCCACUUUUUAUGUGGAAGGAAGGAAGGGGCCACGAUUGGGAAAAAAUGCCCCGAAACCCCUGGGGCUACACGCGGGCUGCAAUGGUAUUGACAAUGUGUUCCGAACCCGAAAGGAGGAGGCAAUCAUCAAAAAAUAUCUCAGUUAUGACUGAGGGCUGUCACCUCGCCCUCACAAAUAUGGAAUCCCUAGUAACCGGGGCGUCACUACCGCGCGGUGAAUACGUCCCUGCUCCUUGCAGGAAUUCCCCG
Molecule: ribosomal RNA, 335 nt
Filed under: uncultured archaeon
Lineage: Archaea
Description: bacterial SSU rRNA
Rfam family: Archaeal small subunit ribosomal RNA
Source: RNAcentral